GAGGCCACUGCUAUCGGGGUCCGACUAAGCCAUGCGAGUCAAGGGGCUCUUCGGGGAGCACCGGCGCACGGCUCAUACACGUGGCUAACCCUACCCUCGGGUGGGGGAUAACCUCGGGAAACUGAGGCUAAUCCCCCAUAGGGGAGGAGGUCUGGAAUGAUCCCUCCCCGAAAGCGCAAGCCGCCCGAGGAUGGGGCUGCGGCGGAUUAGGUAGUUGGUGGGUUAACGGCCCACCAAGCCUACGAUCCGUACGGGCCCUGAGAGGGGGAGCCCGGAGAUGGACACUGAGACACGGGUCCAGGCCCUACGGGGCGCAGCAGGCGCGAAACCUCCGCAAUGCGCGAAAGCGCGACGGGGGGACCCCGAGUGCCNACGCUCCGCGUGGCUUUUCCGGAGUGUAAACAGCUCCGGGAAUAAGGGCUGGGCAAGUCCGGUGCCAGCAGCCGCGGUAAUACCGGCGGCCCGAGUGGUGGCCACUGUUAUUGGGCCUAAAGCGUCCGUAGCCGGCCCGGUAAGUCUCUGCUUAAAUCCUGCGGCUCAACCGCAGGGCUGGCAGAGAUACUGCCGGGCUUGGGACCGGGAGAGGCCGGGGGUACCCCAGGGGUAGCGGUGAAAUGCGUUGAUCCCUGGGGGACCACCUGUGGCGAAGGCGCCCGGCUGGAACGGGUCCGACGGUGAGGGACGAAGGCCGGGGGAGCAAACCGGAUUAGAUACCCGGGUAGUCCCGGCUGUAAACUCUGCGGACUAGGUGUCGCGUCGGCUUCGGGCCGACGCGGUGCCGAAGGGAAGCCGUUAAGUCCGCCGCCUGGGGAGUACGGUCGCAAGACUGAAACUUAAAGGAAUUGGCGGGGGAGCACUACAACGGGUGGAGCCUGCGUUUUAAUUGGAUUCAACGCCGGGCAUCUUACCAGGGGCGACGGCAGGAUGAAGGCCAGGUUGACGACCUUGCCAGACGCGCCGAGAGGUGGUGCAUGGCCGUCGUCAGCUCGUACCGUGAGGCGUCCUGUUAAGUCAGGUAACGAGCGAGACCCGCGCCCCAUGUUGCUACCUCCUCCUCCGGGAGGAGGGCACUCAUGGGGGACCGCCGGCGCUAAGCCGGAGGAAGGUGCGGGCAACGACAGGUCCGCAUGCCCCGAAUCCCCUGGGCUACACGCGGGCUACAAUGGCCGGGACAAUGGGACGCGACCCCGAAAGGGGGAGCGAAUCCCCUAAACCCGGUCGUAGUCCGGAUCGAGGGCUGUAACUCGCCCUCGUGAAGCCGGAAUCCGUAGUAAUCGCGCCUCACCAUGGCGCGGUGAAUGCGUCCCUGCUCCUUGCACACACCGCCCGUCACGCCACCCGAGUUGAGCCCAAGUGAGGCCCUGUCCGCGAGGGCAGGGUCGAACUUGG
This 1389-nucleotide ribosomal RNA is filed under the name Methanocaldococcus fervens AG86. RNAcentral describes it as "16S ribosomal RNA". It matches the Rfam family "Archaeal small subunit ribosomal RNA". Lineage: Archaea; Methanobacteriati; Methanobacteriota; Methanococci; Methanococcales; Methanocaldococcaceae. The record is from RNAcentral.